UUAAGUGAAGCCAAAUCAGCGGCUUAUCCCUGUUAAUGAUAGAAUUGGGAUUUCUCCCCACUUAGA
RNAcentral lists this transfer RNA (66 nucleotides) under Maccaffertium mediopunctatum. RNAcentral describes it as "tRNA-Asn". The record is from RNAcentral. Lineage: Eukaryota; Metazoa; Arthropoda; Insecta; Ephemeroptera; Heptageniidae.